This is a non-coding RNA of Lactuca sativa (garden lettuce), 2808 nucleotides long. The record is from RefSeq and is a predicted model, not a curated record. Lineage: Eukaryota; Viridiplantae; Streptophyta; Magnoliopsida; Asterales; Asteraceae.
CUUUCCUUUUUAAAUAUUGAUGAUUCAGUACUUCACUUGAUAUGCGAAGUGUUCGUUUAAUGCUAUAUACAUAGCUAAGUUUUUUAAUUUUCUAGACAUACCUAUACAUAGUUUAGGAUAUGUUAUGUGUUAUUUUAGUUUUAGUUUAGAGCAUCACAUAUUAUUUAUGUGCAUGGAAUUUGACAUUGUAAUUGAUUAACCUAUUUCUUUAUGUUUUGUGGUCUUUUGGCAUCUACAUAGCUCAUUUUUUUUUUACUUUUCUAGACACAUCUACACUGUUGUACAUAACUUAUUCUAUGUCAAGUGUUAGUUUAGUCUAAUGUUAGUUUAAUAUACAUUGUCCUGAUUUUUUUUUCACUAUGUAAGUCGACUAUUUUUCUUUUAUUUCGACAUUUUAAUUUUGAUGUGCCAUUUGUGCAAUGGGAAAACAGGUUUAACCGGGAAAUUAGAAGGAAUUUAUAGGUAUUUGGUGUUCGCAGUAGCAGCAGCUGCAACCAUGGCUGAUAAGUAUGGAAUUUAAGUCUGGGAAAUUGAGACUACAAUGGGUUGACUAUAAAAAGUCAAAGAACAUAACAAAAGCUCAAGAACCCGUUUUAAAGUUUUGAAUUUCCAUCAUUUUUUCCUUGGUUUUUCAUUUAUCUGUUAUAAGAGUUUUAAAUGUUUUUUUUAAUUCACUAGGAGCAAAUGAGGCUUUCCCCCAUUAGGUCGUGACUUUUUAAAAAUUUCUUUCUAUAUUUUUUUCUUUCAUUUUAUCAAAUACAUUUUAAACAUUUUUUUUAUUGAUCCUUGUGUGGCCCUUACCUAUAUUCGUUACAAAAUUUUGGUCAACAGACUAGCUAAAUUAUUAUAGAUACUGCAAAUAUAUAAACACUUUUUCCUUUAAAGUUUUGUACAAUUCUGAUUAUAUCUUUUCAUUCCAAACAUUAUUGUAUCAUAUGAUAAGACAUAAAAUAAGCAUUGCAGAGAGGUGCAACCCAAAAGUUGGAAAUGAUAACUUGGUGAUGAAGAGUUUUCACCAAAGAAUAAGCAUGGAAGUUCGCUUUACAUUUGUGUUAUAUGCGAUGAAAGAGGUAGGAUCAAAUUUCUCAAUUUCUGGAAUUAAGCUUCCACAUUCUUCAGUCAUUCAUUGUUGAACAUAAGGAUCUCUAGCUCCAUUGUCACCUCUCUCAUAGUAGAUCUAUUUUCUCCUGCUAAGUCAAGGCAUCUCUAUGCAAGCUCAGCUACUACCUAUAACUGUUCAACACUCCCUUAUCUUAACACUCUUGGUUCAACAAUUUGCAAAAGACGAUAUUCAUUUUUGGAGUUGUCAAAGUUAGUUUGGGCCUGUCUACAAGAGAACAACUUGGUUGGGAAUAUUUUACAUGUGCAUGCCAACAGGAGUUAACGUAGGUUAUGUUUAUGGUGGAUAGGUUGGAGAUGAAUUUAGAUGGAGGUAUGUUUUUUUAAUGAGUCGAUUUUGAUGUUACUUUUGAGGUACAAUGCCUUAAUUGUAAAAUAAGUUAACAUACAAUUCUGAUUCUGUAAUGUUUUUCUAUAUAAGGACCAAUUAUGUAAACUUUUUUCUUCAACAUGGACCAUUUUUGUAAUGUUUUUAUACUAUGGAGAGCAACUUGGUAAUCUUUUUGUUUUGUCACAAGGACCAAUUUUGAGAUAUUUUUCUACACAAAGACUACUUAUGUAGAUACAUAACUCAAUACUCUCACGUAUUACUUUUGUUUUGGCAUUUAUUACUAUUAUCAAAUUUUAGAUUGUGUGAUUAUAAUUUGUUGCAUGCAUUAACAAUCUUGAAGCAAAGCGGAGUGAAUCCAAUGUUUAAUGUCUAUCUAAGUUUUGAAAAAUAUAUUAGGUAUGUAAUGAUUCUCAAUGUGAUAGCAUCUGAUUUCAAAAAAAAUACAUUUAUGUUAUUUUAUUCUCUGAUCUAAAGUUAGGUCUGAUGAAAUUCAAAAAUAACUAUUUCAUUUUAGUUUUUAUCCUUACAAUUUAAAGUAUCAGUGAUUUUCGUUCAAUAUUUUUAAGUUAUGCGUUACUUGAUUUUAUAAUCUCUUUUCUGAUCUCCUCUAUAUGCAUUGAAUAGCAUCGUACAUUAAUUGCUUUUUUUCUAGCAUUUUACUUGUGUUUCUUUCUAUUAUAACAAUCUAUGUUCAAAAGUUUAGCCAAUUAUAGUGAUGCUAUCCAAAUACAAAACAUAUGUAAAAGCUUAUUAGGAAGAAUUUUCAAAAUGUUCUAAAUUGAUCGGAAAAAGCCAAAAGUGCAUUGCCAUAAGUAGGUAGAUUUUAAAAAAAGAAACUUUGUUUAAGUAAUUUAUCAUCUUAGUGUUUAGAAAUAAAUUAAAAUUUUAUUUUAUUGGUUAUCUGUUUUCAUUCUACAAGCAUGGAGAAAGUUUGACAGGUAGCCAGUAUUGUGGUUUAAAAUAAUUUUGAACAUGGAGUUGGAUUUCUGAUUGAAUUUGCAGAUGAGUAAGAAAAUGGAGUUGACUGUAUUGACUACGUUGAAAUGGAGAAUGCAAGUAGUUCAUGAACUCUUCAAAUUCUUAUCAUUCUUAUAGUUUUUCAUAUGCCCAUUUUACGUCAUUUGGUGUUUGUUGUCUGUCUUUCAUGAGUCUGAAACAUAAAGUUACAUGAAUGCAUUUUGGCUGCAUUAUGUUUUGCACUUUGCAGAGAUUACAAAGAAGAGUUGAAGAUGUUUAUGGAUUUCUUUGAAUUUGACCUACUGAAAGACAAAUUUUUUGUUGACAUUUUACUUUGACUAUUAUGUGUUUGUAAGACAAUGUAUUAUACUUUAACAUAAAAAGCGACACCUUCAACCUUA